This 236-nucleotide ribosomal RNA is filed under the name uncultured bacterium. RNAcentral describes it as "partial 16S ribosomal RNA". It matches the Rfam family "Bacterial small subunit ribosomal RNA", at positions 118 to 350 of the family's 1533-position model. The record is from RNAcentral.
UGGGCAACCUGCCCCUCUCUCUGGGAUAACCCCGGGAAACCGGAGCUAAUACCGGAUACUCCGGCUGGAUCGCAUGGUCCGGCCGGGAAAGGUCCGCCGGAGAGGGAUGGGCCCGCGGCCUAUCAGCUUUGGUUGGGUGGGGUCAUGGCUCACCAAGGCGACGGCGGGUAGCUGGUCUGAGAGGACGACCAGCCACACUGGAACUGAGAUACGGUCCAGACUCCGUACGGGAGGCA